This 446-nucleotide ribosomal RNA is filed under the name uncultured bacterium. RNAcentral's name for it is "bacterial SSU rRNA". It matches the Rfam family "Bacterial small subunit ribosomal RNA", at positions 15 to 507 of the family's 1533-position model. The record is from RNAcentral.
GAUCCUGGCUCAGAACGAACGCUGGCGGCAUGCCUAACACAUGCAAGUCGAACGAGACCUUCGGGUCUAGUGGCGCACGGGUGCGUAACGCGUGGGAAUCUGCCCUUGGGUUCGGAAUAACAGUUAGAAAUGACUGCUAAUACCGGAUAAUGUCUUCGGACCAAAGAUUUAUCGCCCAGGGAUGAGCCCGCGUAGGAUUAGCUAGUUGGUGAGGUAAAGGCUCACCAAGGCGACGAUCCUUAGCUGGUCUGAGAGGAUGAUCAGCCACACUGGGACUGAGACACGGCCCAGACUCCUACGGGAGGCAGCAGUGGGGAAUAUUGGACAAUGGGCGAAAGCCUGAUCCAGCAAUGCCGCGUGAGUGAUGAAGGCCUUAGGGUUGUAAAGCUCUUUUACCCGGGAUGAUAAUGACAGUACCGGGAGAAUAAGCCCCGGCUAACUCCGUG